CUGGGUGUAGCUCAAUGGCAGAGCACAUGACUUGCAUGUAUGGCGCCCUAGGUUCAGUUCCUGGCAUCCAAA
Molecule: transfer RNA, 72 nt
Filed under: Erinaceus europaeus (western European hedgehog)
Lineage: Eukaryota; Metazoa; Chordata; Mammalia; Eulipotyphla; Erinaceidae
Rfam family: tRNA
About the family: Transfer RNA (tRNA) molecules are approximately 80 nucleotides in length. Their secondary structure includes four short double-helical elements and three loops (D, anti-codon, and T loops).
Source: Rfam by way of RNAcentral